AGUGAACGCUGGCGGUAGGCCUAACACAUGCAAGUCGAACGAGUGGCGGACGGGUGAGGAAUACAUCGGAAUCUACUCUAUGGAGGGGGAUAACGUAGGGAAACGGACGCUAAUACCGCAUACGAUCGAAUGAGCCGAGAUCGGAUUAGCUAGUUGGCGGGGUAAAGGCUCACCAAGGCGACGAUCCGUAGCUGGUCUGAGAGGAUGAUCAGCCACACUGGAACUGAGACACGGUCCAGACUCCUACGGGAGGCAGCAGUGGGGAAUAUUGGACAAUGGGCGCAAGCCUGAUCCAGCCAUCCCGCGUGGAUGAAGAAGGCCUUCGGGUUGUAAAGCCCUUUUGUUGAGAAAGCGGUACCCAAAGAAUAAGCACCGGCUAACUUCGUGCCAGCAGCCGCGGUAAUAC
Molecule: ribosomal RNA, 406 nt
Filed under: uncultured bacterium
Lineage: Bacteria
Description: partial 16S ribosomal RNA
Rfam family: Bacterial small subunit ribosomal RNA
Source: RNAcentral